RNAcentral lists this ribosomal RNA (427 nucleotides) under uncultured bacterium. Its description in RNAcentral is "partial 16S ribosomal RNA". It matches the Rfam family "Bacterial small subunit ribosomal RNA", at positions 355 to 774 of the family's 1533-position model. The record is from RNAcentral.
UGGGGAAUAUUGCACAAUGGGCGCAAGCCUGAUGCAGCCAUGCCGCGUGUAUGAAGAAGGCCUUCGGGUUGUAAAGUACUUUCAGCGGGGAGGAAGGUGUUGAGGUUAAUAACCUCAGCAAUUGACGUUACCCGCAGAAGAAGCACCGGCUACCUCCGUGCCAGCAGCCGCGGUAAUACGGAGGGUGCAAGCGUUAAUCGGAAUUACUGGGCGUAAAGCGCACGCAGGCGGUCUGUCAAGUCGGAUGUGAAAUCCCCGGGCUCAACCUGGGAACUGCAUUCGAAACUGGCAGGCUAGAGUCUUGUAGAGGGGGGUAGAAUUCCAGGUGUAGCGGUGAAAUGCGUAGAGAUCUGGAGGAAUACCGGUGGCGAAGGCGGCCCCCUGGACAAAGACUGACGCUCAGGUGCGAAAGCGUGGGGAGCAAACA